This 459-nucleotide ribosomal RNA is filed under the name uncultured bacterium. RNAcentral's name for it is "partial 16S ribosomal RNA". It matches the Rfam family "Bacterial small subunit ribosomal RNA", at positions 338 to 795 of the family's 1533-position model. The record is from RNAcentral.
CCUACGGGUGGCAGCAGUGAGGAAUAUUGGUCAAUGGGCGCGAGCCUGAACCAGCCAAGUAGCGUGAAGGAUGACUGCCCUACGGGUUGUAAACUUCUUUUAUAAAGGAAUAAAGUGCGGCACGUGUGCCUUUUUGUAUGUACUUUAUGAAUAAGGAUCGGUUACUCCGUGCCAGCAGCCGCGGUAAUACGGAGGAUCCGGGCGUUAUCCGGAUUUAUUGUGUUUAAAGGGAGGGUGAAUGGGUUGUUACGUCAGGUGUGAAAGUUUGCGGGUCAAACGCAGAAUUGCAAUUGGUACUGGGAGCCUGGAGUACAGGUGAAGUAGGCGGAAUGCGUGGGGUAGCGGUGAAAUGCAUAGAGAUCACGAAGAACUCCGAUUGCGAAGGCAGCCUACAAAACGGUCACGGACAUUGAUGCGCGAAAGUGCGGGUAUCAAACAGGAUUAGAUACCCUGGUAGUC